GUCUAGUGAAUUAUGCACAACUCAAGAUAUAAAGGUAUUUAGUUUUAGGGGUGAACUGAGUGGACUUAUAUUGCAUACUAACAUCCAAUAAAGGUUCAAUGAUAUUUAGAUCUGAUUUGGACGCAGGCAGAUAGCUUAAGCUAAGGUCUUCAGGUAAUGAACAAAACAUUGCUUGAUAAAAAGUCAUUAAUAAAGAGUAUAUAUACCAUUUGCUUAGAAAUGUCUGAUUCAUUUUGUUCAUUUUGAU
Pelobates cultripes (western spadefoot toad) is the source of this 247-nucleotide non-coding RNA. The record is from the annotation of a GenBank genome assembly. Lineage: Eukaryota; Metazoa; Chordata; Amphibia; Anura; Pelobatidae.